Molecule: ribosomal RNA, 570 nt
Filed under: uncultured fungus
Lineage: Eukaryota; Fungi
Description: eukaryotic LSU rRNA
Rfam family: 5.8S ribosomal RNA (bases 208-361)
Source: RNAcentral
CGUAACAAGGUCUCCGUAGGUGAACCUGCGGAGGGAUCAUUACACAAAUAUGAAGGCGGGCUGGAACCUCUCGGGGUUACCGCCUUGCUGAAUUAUUCACCCUUGUCUUUUGCGUACUUCUUGUUUCCUUGGUGGGUUCGCCCACCACUAGGACAAACAUAAACCUUUUGUAAUUGCAAUCAGCGUCAGUAACAAAUUAAUAAUUACAACUUUCAACAACGGAUCUCUUGGUUCUGGCAUCGAUGAAGAACGCAGCGAAAUGCGAUAAGUAGUGUGAAUUGCAGAAUUCAGUGAAUCAUCGAAUCUUUGAACGCACAUUGCGCCCUUUGGUAUUCCAAAGGGCAUGCCUGUUCGAGCGUCAUUUGUACCCUCAAGCUUUGCUUGGUGUUGGGCGUCUUGUCUCUAGCUUUGCUGGAGACUCGCCUUAAAGUAAUUGGCAGCCGGCCUACUGGUUUCGGAGCGCAGCACAAGUCGCACUCUCUAUCAGCAAAGGUCUAGCAUCCAUUAAGCCUUUUUUUCAACUUUUGACCUCGGAUCAGGUAGGGAUACCCGCUGAACUUAAGCAUAUCA